This 106-nucleotide ribosomal RNA is filed under the name Caerostris darwini. The record is from RNAcentral. Lineage: Eukaryota; Metazoa; Arthropoda; Arachnida; Araneae; Araneidae.
AACGGCCGUACCAUGCUGAAUAUACCGGUUCUCAUUAGAUCACCGAAGUUAAGCAUCAUUGGGCGCGGUCAGUACUUGGGACCACCUGGGAACACUGCGUGCCGUU